This 403-nucleotide ribosomal RNA is filed under the name uncultured bacterium. RNAcentral describes it as "bacterial SSU rRNA". It matches the Rfam family "Bacterial small subunit ribosomal RNA", at positions 355 to 775 of the family's 1533-position model. The record is from RNAcentral.
UAGGGAAUAUUAGAAAUGGACGAAAGUCUGAUCUAGCAACACCGCGUGUGCGAAGAAGGCCUUCGGGUUGUAAAGCACUUUUUGGAAGGAUUAGGAAGGAAUGUACUUCCAGAAUAAGCCUCGGCUAACUACGUGCCAGCAGCCGCGGUAACACGUAGGAGGCAAACGUUAUCCGGACUUACUGGGCGUAAAGCGCGUGUAGGUGGUUCUGUAAGUAGGGCGUGAAAGCUCCUGGCUCAACUGGGAGAGGCCGUUCUAAACUGCAGAGCUAGAGGAUGGUAGAGGGAGGUGGAAUUCCGGGUGUAGCGGUGGAAUGCGCAGAUAUCCGGAGGAACACCGGUGGCGAAAGCGGCCUCCUGGACCAUUCCUGACACUCAGACGCGAAAGCUAGGGUAGCAAACGG